GAGGGUAUAGCUCAAGUGAUAGAGUGCAUGCUUAGCAGGCAUAAAGUCCUGGGUUCAAUCCCCGGUACUGCCA
Molecule: transfer RNA, 73 nt
Filed under: Camelus bactrianus (Bactrian camel)
Lineage: Eukaryota; Metazoa; Chordata; Mammalia; Artiodactyla; Camelidae
Also listed under: 1 other name
Rfam family: tRNA
About the family: Transfer RNA (tRNA) molecules are approximately 80 nucleotides in length. Their secondary structure includes four short double-helical elements and three loops (D, anti-codon, and T loops).
Source: Rfam by way of RNAcentral